This 1454-nucleotide ribosomal RNA is filed under the name Halorubrum sp. Q3. RNAcentral's name for it is "bacterial SSU rRNA". It matches the Rfam family "Archaeal small subunit ribosomal RNA". RNAcentral also lists the same sequence under 1 other name. Lineage: Archaea; Methanobacteriati; Methanobacteriota; Halobacteria; Halobacteriales; Haloferacaceae. The record is from RNAcentral.
UUUGAUCCUGCCGGAGGCCAUUGCUAUUGGGAUCCGAUUUAGCCAUGCUAGUCGCACGAGUUCAGACUCGUGGCGAAUAGCUCAGUAACACGUGGCCAAACUACCCUUCGGAACACAAUACCCUCGGGAAACUGAGGCUAAUAGUGUAUCCCAUACCACCACUGGAAUGAGUGGUAUGCCAAACGCUCCGGCGCCGAAGGAUGUGGCUGCGGCCGAUUAGGUAGACGGUGGGGUAACGGCCCACCGUGCCAAUAAUCGGUAUGGGUCAUGAGAGUGAGAACCCAGAGACGGAAUCUGAGACAAGAUUCCGGGCCCUACGGGGCGCAGCAGGCGCGAAACCUUUACACUGCACGACAGUGCGAUAGGGGGAUCCCAAGUGCACAGGCAUAGCGCCUGUGCUUUUCGGCACCCUAAGGCGGUGCCAGAAUAAGGGCUGGGCAAGACCGGUGCCAGCCGCCGCGGUAAUACCGGCAGCCCAAGUGAUGGCCGAUCUUAUUGGGCCUAAAGCGUCCGUAGCUGGCCGCGCAAGUCCAUCGGGAAAUCCACCUGCUCAACAGGUGGGCGCCCGGUAGAAACUGCGUGGCUUGGGACCGGAAGGCGCGACGGGUACGUCCGGGGUAGGAGUGAAAUCCCGUAAUCCUGGACGGACCGCCGAUGGCGAAAGCACGUCGCGAGAACGGAUCCGACAGUGAGGGACGAAAGCCAGGGUCUCGAACCGGAUUAGAUACCCGGGUAGUCCUGGCCGUAAACAAUGUCUGCUAGGUGUGGCUCCCACUACGAGUGGGUGCUGUGCCGUAGGGAAGCCGCUAAGCAGACCGCCUGGGAAGUACGUCCGCAAGGAUGAAACUUAAAGGAAUUGGCGGGGGAGCACUACAACCGGAGGAGCCUGCGGUUUAAUUGGACUCAACGCCGGACAUCUCACCAGCAUCGACUGUAAUAAUGACGACCAGGUUGAUGACCUUGUCCGAGUUUCAGAGAGGAGGUGCAUGGCCGCCGUCAGCUCGUACCGUGAGGCGUCCUGUUAAGUCAGGCAACGAGCGAGACCCGCACCCUUACUUGCCAGCAGUACCGCGAGGUAGCUGGGGACAGUAGGGGGACCGCCGUGGCUAACACGGAGGAAGGAACGGGCAACGGUAGGUCAGUAUGCCCCGAAUGUGCUGGGCAACACGCGGGCUACAAUGGUCGAGACAAAGGGUUCCUACUCCGAAAGGAGACGGUAAUCUCAGAAACUCGAUCGUAGUUCGGAUUGUGGGCUGCAACUCGCCCACAUGAAGCUGGAUUCGGUAGUAAUCGCGUGUCACAAGCGCGCGGUGAAUACGUCCCUGCUCCUUGCACACACCGCCCGUCAAAGCACCCGAGUGAGGUCCGGAUGAGGCGUUCCACGAACGUCGAAUCUGGGCUUCGCAAGGGGGCUUAAGUCGUAACAAGGUAGCCGUAGGGGAAUCUGCGGCUGG